Molecule: long non-coding RNA, 1103 nt
Organism: Haliotis rufescens (red abalone)
Lineage: Eukaryota; Metazoa; Mollusca; Gastropoda; Lepetellida; Haliotidae
Exons: 6
Source: RefSeq, a predicted model, not a curated record
CGCAAUAGUUUAUUCUUACAAAAUAUAGACCGGUUAACUUUAGCGAAAUGGGAUCACUUUUAGCUCUUUUAAAAACAAAAUGAACAAAUUUCAUGGGUUAUCAGCAUUACGAAAAGUGUCAAAGUCUCAGAAAAGCAAGACGAUUUUGAAGUAUCUCUUAUUGCUGGAAAAGAUAAACAUCAACAUUUCACGCACAUUUCACAUGAUUUGUAUGUUUCGUUUCGGUAACUGUGUGGCUUGAAAUUUCAAAGAAACCAACAUGUCGACUUACAUGCUACAAAAUUAACGUCUCCCGUAUACAAACUACAAACCUGUUCGAGUUUAAUGAUAGUCACACAUAGUUCCAUCAAUAGCUGUCAAGUGUGAUGGUUUGAAUAGUAAAUCCAGCGACAACAAGCUGCAUCGGCAAAAAUAGUAACUCUCUUGUGUGGAAACAAGGAAGAUUGUAAUAUUAGAGUUGUUCCCCUUUGUAACAGCAGACGACCUUAACAUAUAUAUCACGGACGCUUCUGGACUAAAAAAAAGAAAGAGAAACUUCUCCUCGGCUGACAUAGAUAUCAUUGUAUCAGGUGUGGAAAGUAAUUUUGACAUGCUGAAUUCGGCCUUUACGUAUACAGUGACAAAUAAUGCAAAGAAGAGGAUUUGGAAAGAUAUCACCACGACAUUCUACAACUGAUUCCAUCCUGUGCUAUUGAGGGGAUCCCAGGGGGCAUAGAAACACCUGAUGAUGAUGGCACUUCCUCCUUAGGAUUCAUGGACAUGUGUAUUAAAGUCAAUAAAUGUUCAGCAUGAUUCAUUCAUUAGCUGAUGAAGCUGAAGACGCAACACAGGCAUUAAUGUUUGAUUCUCCACAGGAAGUGUUUUACACUCCACUGACAGCUACAAGCUUAAGUAAGCACAGGAGAAACUGAUUGUGGAACUAGCACAGAAAAGAACCAAGCCAGUCUGGAGGAUAUAAUGAUGACUCCUGCUAUCAGAGCCAAUAUAUGUACCUUAGUAGCCGCAGUAUCCUUGUGGUACACAACUAUCUUCACCUCCUGGAGUGAUGAUCCGGGGUUGUCCUGUCCGAACUGUUCCACCGUCUCCAUCAUGGUUUUGGCCAC